UGCAGAAUCCCGUGAACCAUCGAGUCUUUGAACGCAAGUUGCGCCCGAAUCCUUUUGGUCGAGGGCACGUCUGCCUGGGUGUCACGUACACAUGCCUCCCGCAAACCUUCCCCCUUUGUGGAUGAAGUGCCUUGCGGGAGCAGAUAAUGGUAUCCCGUGCUCUUUCCGCGCGGCUUGCCUAAAAAUGGAGAGCCGGUGAUGUAACGUCACGCCUAGUGGUGGUUAACGAGGCCUAAUGGCCAACCAGUUCGCGGCGUGACUAGUAUUCACCGAAAAUCUCCCGCGACACCUUGGACGUCCUCUGAUGGACGUGCUAUUGUCGCGACCCCAGGUCAGGCGGGACUACCCGCUGAAUUUAAGCAUAUCAAUAAGCGGAGGAAGAGAAACUUACAAGGAUUCCCUUAGUAACGGCGAGCGAACCGGGAAGAGCCCAGCUUGUAAAUCGGGCAGCUUUGCUGCUUGA
This 463-nucleotide ribosomal RNA is filed under the name Saxifraga granulata. RNAcentral describes it as "eukaryotic LSU rRNA". The stretch from base 323 to 463 matches the Rfam family "Eukaryotic large subunit ribosomal RNA", at positions 1 to 141 of the family's 3401-position model. Lineage: Eukaryota; Viridiplantae; Streptophyta; Magnoliopsida; Saxifragales; Saxifragaceae. The record is from RNAcentral.